GCCCGAGUUGUAAUUUGGAGAGGAUGCUUUUGGCGCGGCGCCGUCCGAGUUCCUUGGAACAGGACGCCACAGAGGGUGAGAGCCCCGUACGGACGGACGCCUAACCUUUACAAAGCUCCUUCGACGAGUCGAGUAGUUUGGGAAUGCUGCUCAAAAUGGGAGGUAAAUUUCUUCUAAAGCUAAAUACCGGCCAGAGACCGAUAGCGCACAAGUAGAGUGAUCGAAAGAUGAAAAGCACUUUGAAAAGAGGGUUAAAAAGUACGUGAAAUUGUUGAAAGGGAAGCGCCUGUGACCAGACUUGCGCCCCGUGGACCAUCCGGCGUUCUCGCCGGUGCACUCUGCGGGGCGCAGGCCAGCAUCGGUUCUCCUAGGGGGAUAAAGGCCGCGGGAACGUAGCUCCUUCGGGAGUGUUAUAGCCCGUGGUGGCAUGCCCCUGGGGGGACCGAGGACCGCGCUUCGGCAAGGAUGCUGGCGUAAUGGUCACCAGCGACCCGUCUUGAAACACGGACCAAGGAGUCAAGCAUUGGGGCGAGUGUAUGGGUGCCAAACCCGCACGCGAAAUGAAAGUAAACGCAGGUGAGAGCUUCGGCGCAUCAUCGACCGAUCCUGAUGUCUUCGGAUGGAUUUGAGUAAGAGCCUUACCGCUUGGACCCGAAAGAUGGUGAACUAUGCCUGAAUAGGGUGAAGCCAGAGGAAACUCUGGUGGAGGCUCGCAGCGGUUCUGACGUGCAAAUCGAUCGUCAAAUUUGGGCAUGGGGGCGAAAGACUAAUCGAACCAUCUAGUAGCUGGUUACCGCCGAAGUUUCCCUCAGGAUAGCAGUGUUGUUUUCAGUUUUAUGAGGUAAAGCGAAUGAUUAGGGACUCGGGGGCGCCUAUUAGCCUUCAUCCAUUCUCAAACUUUAAAUAUGUAAGAAGCCCUUGUUGCUUAAUUGAACGUGGGCCUUCGAAUGCAACAACACUAGUGGGCCAUUUUUGGUAAGCAGAACUGGCGAUGCGGGAUGAACCGAACGCGGGGUUAAGGUGCCGGAGUGGACGCUCAUCAGACACCACAAAAGGCGUUAGUACAUCUUGACAGCAGGACGGUGGCCAUGGAAGUCGGAAUCCGCUAAGGACUGUGUAACAACUCACCUGCCGAAUGUACUAGCCCUGAAAAUGGAUGGCGCUCAAGCGUCCCACCCAUACCCCGCCCUCAGGGUAGAAACGAUGCCCUGAGGAGUAGGCGGCCGUGGAGGUCAGUGACGAAGCCCAGGU
RNAcentral lists this ribosomal RNA (1251 nucleotides) under Sporothrix stenoceras. RNAcentral describes it as "eukaryotic LSU rRNA". It matches the Rfam family "Eukaryotic large subunit ribosomal RNA", at positions 136 to 1415 of the family's 3401-position model. Lineage: Eukaryota; Fungi; Ascomycota; Sordariomycetes; Ophiostomatales; Ophiostomataceae. The record is from RNAcentral.